Non-coding RNA from Callorhinchus milii (elephant shark), 72 nucleotides. NCBI's taxonomy places the organism in Eukaryota, Metazoa, Chordata, Chondrichthyes, Chimaeriformes, Callorhinchidae. The record is from the annotation of a RefSeq genome assembly.
UCCCAUAGCUCAGUGGUUAGAGCACUUGCCUUUCAAGCAAGAGGACUUGGGUUCGAUUCCCAGGCAGCGCAA